AGCAGCCGCGGUAAUUCCAGCUCCAAUAGCGUAUAUUAAAGUUGUUGCAGUUAAAAAGCUCGUAGUUGAAUUUCGGGAUCAAAUUGUCGGUCGUGCCUCGGUACGUACUGGUAUUAUUGGUUCCUCCCUUCUGACGAACCACGAUGUCAUUAAUUUGGUGUCAUGGGAAAUCAGGACUGUUACUUUGAAAAAAUUAGAGUGUUUAAAGCAGGCUCGCGCUUGAAUACAUUAGCAUGGAAUAAUGAAAUAGGACGUUUGAUUCUAUUUUGUUGGUUUCUAGGAUCGACGUAAUGAUUAAUAGGGAUAGUUGGGGGCGUUAGUAUUCAAUUGUCAGAGGUGAAAUUCUUGGAUUUAUUGAAGACUAACUACUGCGAAAGCAUUUGCCAAGGAUGUUUUCAUUAAUCAAGAACGAAAGUUAGGGGAUCGAAGACGAUCAGAUACCGUCGUAGUCUUAACCAUAAACUAUGCCGACUAGGGAUCGGAUGAUGUUAAUUUUUUAAUGACUCAUUCGGCGCCUUAC
Molecule: ribosomal RNA, 520 nt
Filed under: uncultured Glomus
Lineage: Eukaryota; Fungi; Glomeromycota; Glomeromycetes; Glomerales; Glomeraceae
Description: SSU rRNA
Rfam family: Eukaryotic small subunit ribosomal RNA
Source: RNAcentral